GCACAGAGGAUGUAUUAACCACACAUCUUCUAGCAAUGCGCUCAACUGGCAGAAAUGAUGCUGGGUAUGAUGUGUCUGUUCCCUGCAAGCCCCAAACUUCUAUUGGCUUUCCAUAAAAAUGUCUGUCCGGGUGGAGAUGAAGCCAGGAAACUUGUGCAAGAACAUGUUUAAAUGCCGUACCCUUUGACACAACAUUAACAACUAUAAACUGCUUUAUAAUGGCUGGUCGUAGUUCUGCUAGAGGGUCACGGACGGGUUCCUCAAAACUGUUAGUGUUUCCACAUCACGUAGCAUAAACACAUGCUGACCUUUAUGCUCUGCAUCUAUCGAUUGAGUAAGUUACAUUCGUAUAUGUUACCCGUUUACAUGUCAUGGCAAAACAUUCAACCUCAGUGACACAAGGGUACAUCUGAUGAUACAUUGUCAACAUUGCAUGUCUGUCAGACUCAAGAGUGUCUGGUGGAAUGGAGAAAGAGGCACCACUGUACAGGUUUCUAGGGAAAGUCGUUCUGCUGACACCAAAACACUGCUUUACAUAAAGCAUAUCAGCUGUUUCAUUGCACGACAAAGUCCCAACCAUUUGUCUUCCUAAAAUACUGGUCCUUCCGUAUAACAAUAACCUCGUAUGUGAUUGGAGGACCCUUAGACUCCUCGUCCAAUCACGUCUGAGGUCAUAGGCGUGACUGAUACAGCAGUACUUGCAAGACGAGCAUGCAAACGUGUUACUAUAUUCAGAAGAACUGUAUCUCCAGUUCCUUUGUUUGGUUUUUGCUGCUUCGUGAAUAAUGGCGGGACGACGUCUCGCGUUCAACUCGCCUUCAACUCCUCUCCGCGGUCACCAACUUUCGGCCAGUCCGCAGACAGACAGAAGAAGCUGCUGAAUGCUCUCAGUGGAUCGUCUCGUCAACUCCAACAACAAACCGCCGAUAUCAACGAGCGGUUCGCUCCACUGGAGCGUUCGGGACUCUGCGGGUUUCUGUCCAUGGAGGAGAGGAACCGACUCAAAGAAGAGGAGACGGGCGCACAAUCCCACGAUAGCGGAAGCGGUGCGCCGUCUUCACAACUCUGAGACGAACUACAGGCGCUACGAACCGGAGCAAGGACUAACCUCGCCUCAUAAUGAGGCGGUGACCUCGUAUUUGCUCCGGGAAAAGUCCAGAUUUAGACGACGUCAUUGUGUCCGCCUGUGAGACGUAUUUUGAGACGUACGCAGGAGCUUCAGCUGCGAAGGAUUCAGCGCGGAGUCGAGCGAGGAGAAAGAGGCUGCUGGAAUCGAGACAAAGUGUGCUGGCUGAUGACGAGGUGGAACGCUGGAAAUCCGCCACCGUGGAGCUCACGUCGGACGGAGGGGACGGCGUUGUUGGCGGGGUCUCGGGGUGGAUUGUACGGUCGACACACACACACGAGCCGCCUGCACAACAGACCUGCCUCGGAAAACACGGCGCCAGUGACGGUCAACAACCCCGAGGAGGCAAACGGACAGUUUACUGAGCUGUAGUUUUUAAACCGCCGUUACCCAAGUGUGGGCAGAUCCUCACUUUGUAUGUAGUUGUUGUUU
This is a long non-coding RNA of Gasterosteus aculeatus aculeatus (three-spined stickleback), 1558 nucleotides long. The record is from Ensembl. NCBI's taxonomy places the organism in Eukaryota, Metazoa, Chordata, Actinopteri, Perciformes, Gasterosteidae.